RNAcentral lists this transfer RNA (85 nucleotides) under Pyrobaculum aerophilum str. IM2. It matches the Rfam family "tRNA". From Rfam's summary of the family: Transfer RNA (tRNA) molecules are approximately 80 nucleotides in length. Lineage: Archaea; Thermoproteati; Thermoproteota; Thermoprotei; Thermoproteales; Thermoproteaceae. The record is from Rfam by way of RNAcentral.
GCCGGGGUGGCCGAGCGGCCCAAGGCGCGGGACUUGAGAUCCCGUCCCCGUCCAGGGGGCGUGGGUUCAAAUCCCACCCCCGGCG